Molecule: non-coding RNA, 806 nt
Organism: Petromyzon marinus (sea lamprey)
Lineage: Eukaryota; Metazoa; Chordata; Hyperoartia; Petromyzontiformes; Petromyzontidae
Source: RefSeq, a predicted model, not a curated record
AACCACUAUAGCAGCAAUCUUGAUUUGUAGCUUUCGUGACUGCAGGGAUCCACACUCAUUGGUUCUUUCGGUAAAGUCACGUGGGUAGAAAAAUAAAAUAAACGACGACGUUUCGAUCGCAACACGAGCGGUCGUUAUUGGCAACUAAUAAUUCGCGAUCCAAUAAUCCACGAAUCCCUGUAAUGUGCGGUUAAUUUUGCGCUUCGCGGUUGCUCCAGUAAUCCGCGGAAUUCCGCGGUGGACUGACCCCAAAUCGCGAUCCGUAGAUUAGGGCCGAGCUAACGUGGAGCUUCAGGGAAAAGCAGAGGUGUGCCCCAUCAUGGCCGCGGCACGGAAGUCCCUGAGUGAGGACUCUCGCGGGGCGUGGGUGACGAUGGGACUGGACGAAUUUUUUCCCCUCCUUCCUUUCUCUGGUCAUGGCAAUCGCUUCCUGCGGACCUUCGCUUGCCUUUCGAGUAGCCGAGCGACACGAGCACCUGGGCCGUCUCGCCCGUCACCUGGAUGAAGAAGAGGGGCGUGAAAAAGCGCACGGGAUGGGAGCAGGGAUGAAGUUCUGCUUGGGCUAGGUGCACUUUGAGGCCACGUGUGCGGAAGACUCGCUUUGGAGGAGGUUACGGAACAGGCCCAGGCGGUGAGGCGGCCUACGGCAUUAAGGUGACGAUUCGUGAACACGACUAUGACUUUGUGCCGAGUUAAUCGUCAUCGCCCUGCCCACCCAGAGCCCCCUUUUAUUCUGCUCCUCCCUCCCACUCCUGCUUGUUGUCGUCGUCAUCAUCAUCGUCGUCGUCGCCGCCGCCGUGGUCACC